Molecule: long non-coding RNA, 476 nt
Organism: Octopus sinensis (East Asian common octopus)
Lineage: Eukaryota; Metazoa; Mollusca; Cephalopoda; Octopoda; Octopodidae
Exons: 2
Source: RefSeq, a predicted model, not a curated record
ACAUAGAUUCAGAGAAAGAGAGAUCGGGAGAGAGAGACAUACGGAGACUUAGAGAGAGAGAGUGACAUACCGAGAGAGAGAAAGACGGCUUGUGAGAUUGACAGCUUCUCUUUCUCACUCACUCACAUCGUCUCUACAUUUCUUAUUAAUUCAUUACCAAAAAAAAGAAGAGGAUAAAGAAGACCAACAGCUUUUAAGACCGAAAUUUGAUACAAAAUUUCACAGAGAGGGAUGCUGUCUUGUUAAACUGAUCAAAGGUGCACCUAGAAUGUUGUCAUUGGCUCAGGGAUAUGGAAUCUACCUGUUCUGAUCUAAUGUCUACGUGGCACACCAACGUCAGUUCCACUCAUGUCACCAGGACUUCUAAACUUAACAAUAAGGAUUACUUCAGGAAAAGAACCCACAUGAAUCACAACCAAAACAACAACAACAACAAAAACAAUCUUUAAAAAAAAUCACAGAAAAAGAAAAAAAAA